UGCGUAGGCGGGUCUUUAAGUCAGGGGUGAAAUCCUGGAGCUCAACUCCAGAACUGCCUUUGAUACUGAAGAUCUUGAGUUCGGGAGAGGUGAGUGGAACUGCGAGUGUAGAGGUGAAAUUCGUAGAUAUUCGCAAGAACACCAGUGGCGAAGGCGGCUCACUAGCCCGAUACUGACGCUGAGGCACGAAAGCUGGGGAGCAAACA
This 206-nucleotide ribosomal RNA is filed under the name uncultured bacterium. RNAcentral describes it as "partial 16S ribosomal RNA". It matches the Rfam family "Bacterial small subunit ribosomal RNA", at positions 568 to 774 of the family's 1533-position model. The record is from RNAcentral.